GAGGGCACAAAAAGGGCCAGGAGCACCUACUUUGUGAAGAAUAACAUUCUACACAGCAGUAGGUAUAUCAUGGGCCCCUAUUUGGAGAAUGGUAACCACUGGACCUUUGUUCAUUUUGACCUAACCUCCAAGGUCAUUACAUAUGCCAAUUCUUUGGGUG
Molecule: long non-coding RNA, 160 nt
Organism: Fundulus heteroclitus (mummichog)
Lineage: Eukaryota; Metazoa; Chordata; Actinopteri; Cyprinodontiformes; Fundulidae
Exons: 3
Source: RefSeq, a predicted model, not a curated record